CCUACGGGUGGCAGCAGUGAGGAAUAUUGGUCAAUGGGCUAAGGCCUGAACCAGCCAAGUCGCGUGAGGGAAGACGGUCCUAUGGAUUGUAAACCUCUUUUGUCGGGGAGCAACGAGGCCACGUGUGGCCGCAGUGAGAGUACCCGAAGAAAAAGCAUCGGCUAACUCCGUGCCAGCAGCCGCGGUAAUACGGAGGAUGCGAGCGUUAUCCGGAUUUAUUGGGUUUAAAGGGUGCGUAGGCGGAACAUUAAGUCAGCGGUAAAAUCGAGGGGCUCAACCCCUGUACGCCGUUGAAACUGGUGGGCUUGAGUGGGCGAGAAGUAGGCGGAAUGCGUGGUGUAGCGGUGAAAUGCAUAGAUAUCACGCAGAACUCCGAUUGCGAAGGCAGCAUACCGGCGCGCGACUGACGCUGAGGCACGAAAGCGUGGGGAUCGAACAGGAUUAGAUACCCCUGUAGUC
RNAcentral lists this ribosomal RNA (459 nucleotides) under uncultured bacterium. RNAcentral describes it as "partial 16S ribosomal RNA". It matches the Rfam family "Bacterial small subunit ribosomal RNA", at positions 338 to 795 of the family's 1533-position model. The record is from RNAcentral.